GUCCCCUUUGUCUAAUGGUUAUGACGUCAGACUUCUAUAUCUUUAUUGGGUAUCUGGAGGUUGCGGGUUCGAGUCCCGCAGGGGAUA
Molecule: transfer RNA, 87 nt
Organism: Fistulina hepatica ATCC 64428
Lineage: Eukaryota; Fungi; Basidiomycota; Agaricomycetes; Agaricales; Fistulinaceae
Rfam family: tRNA
About the family: Transfer RNA (tRNA) molecules are approximately 80 nucleotides in length. Their secondary structure includes four short double-helical elements and three loops (D, anti-codon, and T loops).
Source: Rfam